CUUUAGACCUCCGCCGCUUCUGCUUCCAAUCAUCUUCUUCCUUCUUUAUUCUCUUUUUUGUUCUUUUGUUCUUCAUCUUCAUCUAUCUAUCUACAGAAUAGAAAACUUGAUCCUUUGCUUCUUCUCGGCCACCACUUCUCAAAUCCCCCAAUUCCCCCAAGCCCCAACAACAACUACCACCACCACCACUUCAAUUCUUUCUUGGCGUUGAUUUUGGGAGGGGUCAGGUUUCGGCUAGACGGCUUGCUUGAGGUUCUCAUCUUUUCUCUUGUUAUUUUCGGCUAUCGGAAUUAUCUGCUCCACCGGCUGGGGUCAGGUUUCGGCUAGACGGCUUGCUUGAGGUUCUCAUCUUUUCUCUUGUUAUUUUCGGCUAUCGGAAUCAUCCGCUCCACCGGCUGGCAGGAAGGGGAGUGGCCGGAGAACGAAGAGGGAUAAAUGCUUCAGCAGUUAGCUCUGUCUGUGAAAAACAGAAAAGGAAAAAAAUUAAAAAAGAAGACGAUGGUGGCAAUUUGGGUUCUUAUACAAAGGUUUGUUUUCCAAAAGGCUUUGGAAGAACUGGAUGUUUGGUUGCUAGAGUCAUCUUGCUAUCAAUGAUCCAUUUAUCACCACUGAUUACAUGGUGAAAAAAGACCAAGGCAACAUGUGUGGCAGACAUCAUGGGCUAUUAUCAUGCGAUUUGUUGGAGAUACUAUCAUGAUUCAUGGGGAUGGCACUGGCUUAAUGCUUCCACCUAGGCUAGCACCUGUACAGGUGACAGAACUAUAGUUCUUAAUGCUACAUCAUCAGUGAAAGAAAACUCUGCAAGUAGCUGGAAUAAAGAUCAAGGUUGAUGACUCUGAUCAGAGAACACCUGGAUGGAAAUAUAACUUUUGGGAGAUGAAGGGAGUACUUUAAGAAUAGAGAUUGGACCUCGUGAUGUGUCUACUGGGACUGUGGUCAUUUUCAGAAGAGAUAUUCCUAGAAAAGAAGGAAAAGAUUUCGGGAUAUCAACGGAUUCUUCAAUUUUUGUUGCUUAUGUUUAAGGGUUGUUGGAUGGGAUUCGUAGUUGCCUGCUGGAGAGGGCAACCACUUUCAUGAGCUUUUUUUUUUUGGAAUUUUAAUUAAACCUGUCCUUCAAGACAUUGGUUCUUUUCUUUUGUAAACUUUAAUUACUGGUAGAUUGUUAGCUAAGUGCGCUAGCAGUAAUCUCUUGAUUCUUCUGAUGUUGUGUUACAUUUUUUUUUACUCCAGUUUCUUCAUCUUUCGAAUAAUAUUAAUGUCCUUGACUA
Coffea arabica (coffee) is the source of this 1268-nucleotide non-coding RNA. Lineage: Eukaryota; Viridiplantae; Streptophyta; Magnoliopsida; Gentianales; Rubiaceae. The record is from RefSeq and is a predicted model, not a curated record.